RNAcentral lists this ribosomal RNA (248 nucleotides) under uncultured Oscillospiraceae bacterium. RNAcentral's name for it is "partial 16S ribosomal RNA". It matches the Rfam family "Bacterial small subunit ribosomal RNA", at positions 524 to 771 of the family's 1533-position model. Lineage: Bacteria; Bacillati; Bacillota; Clostridia; Eubacteriales; Oscillospiraceae. The record is from RNAcentral.
UACGUAGGUGGCAAGCGUUAUCCGGAUUUACUGGGUGUAAAGGGCGUGUAGGCGGGAGCGCAAGUCAGAUGUGAAAACUCAGGGCUCAACCCUGAGCCUGCAUUUGAAACUGGUUUUCUUGAGUGAAGUAGAGGUUGGCGGAAUUCCGAGUGUAGCGGUGAAAUGCGUAGAUAUUCGGAGGAACACCGGUGGCGAAGGCGGCCUGCUGGACAAUAACUGACGCUGAGGCGCGAAAGCGUGGGGAGCAA